Cryptomeria japonica (Japanese cedar) is the source of this 903-nucleotide long non-coding RNA. RefSeq lists it as uncharacterized. The transcript has 4 exons. NCBI's taxonomy places the organism in Eukaryota, Viridiplantae, Streptophyta, Pinopsida, Cupressales, Cupressaceae. The record is from RefSeq and is a predicted model, not a curated record.
AUCAUCUUCCUUCAUCUUCUGUAGCUUGUCCUUCAAUUUCAAUUUUCGCUUUAGUAUAUUCUCCUCUUCUUCACCCCAAACAAACCCUGAAAACUGCAAAACAUUCCUCUUAAAAUGAUAAGCCUUUCCGCGCCUUCCAUAAAGAAGUCAUUUCAACACCUCUGGUGAGCUUGGAUAGUUUAUAUGCCACAUUUGGAGUGUUCUUAAGCUGUCUGCCUUUGCCCUGUUCAAUGAUGAAUUCUCUGGAGCUAUCCCUAAUGGUGGAAGGAUCAAAGGUUUUUACAGGCUUCUUUUCUCUCACAGGCCAAUCCAGCGGAGUAGUGGGCAGGCGUUGAAAGUAAAUCCUCAGUUUUCUCCUCUGUGAAUUCUUCAGCCAUAUCGAGAUUCGAACGAAUUCAAAAUUUAUGAAGAAGCAAAACGGAGGAUCAGAAAAUAGCAACCAAAUGAGAUCAAAUACCCUCUUCCAGCCAUUCAUGGCACAGACAUUGGAUUCAUGGGUGGGCCCAUUUGUCAUGCUGGUAUUAACACUUCUCACAGGCCAUUGACAAUUGAGGAUUAGUGAGCUGCAUCACCAACUUAGGCACACCUUGGAUACGACAACUAGUAUGUGAUGUUUGUCUUGUCAACAUAGCUAAAAAUCAAUCUAGAAGGAUGAAACCUACAAUGUAGUGUGGGAUGCAUUGACAUUCCUAUUUCUAGUUGGGAUGUAUUUGGAGGGUGAGCAUUAGUGAACCAAGUAAUGAGAUGAUGCAUACAAUAAGGUUGCAUCCACUUCCUAUUGUCAACUGAGCACCAUGUGUGAGUUAAUCACCGUGUACAUGUAUAAUAAUGACCUCAUUUGUUAUGUAUUAUUAUAUUUAUGUCAUUUCUAGUGAUCACAACAUGUAGUAUGGGGUGUUUUUC